Molecule: RNA transcript, 1026 nt
Organism: Impatiens glandulifera
Lineage: Eukaryota; Viridiplantae; Streptophyta; Magnoliopsida; Ericales; Balsaminaceae
Gene name: pre-rRNA-processing protein TSR2-like
Exons: 4
Source: RefSeq, a predicted model, not a curated record
CAUCCCUCAAAACCCUAAAUUAUAAUCCUUUUUUUCCUCACACUGUAACCCUCUCAUCUCAACUUUCUUCUCAAUAUCUCUGCAAGUCGUCUCUACCUUCAAGUUUUUCUCUUCAUUAGGGCAAGUAGAGGAUUAGGUUUUAGAAUGGAAGGUGGUAAGGAAAAGCCAGAGCAGUUAUCAGCAGAGGGUGCCAGUUUCCUUGAACAAGGAAUUGGGUUGUUAUUCUCGAGAUGGAGUGCGCUUCAGAUGGCUGUUUCUGACAAUUGGGGAGGUGGUGAUUCUAUUAUGAAGUCACAGAAUUUAGCUGCAGAAGUUUUAUCAUGGUUUACCCAUUCGAAAGAAGCAGUACUGUACAUAGAUGAUUUGGAAGAUAUUCUGGAUGAGUCUAUGAUUUCAUUAUUCAAUACUGAGAUAGAAGACAACAGUAUUGAAGAGAUUGCUGAGAAACUGAUGGUGAUGCAUGAAGAAUGUUUGCAGGGAAAUUAUAAUUCAAUUCAAAUAUUGAAAGAUGAUGUUCCUAUUACAGUCAAUCUUCCUCAUAUUAGACAGGAAGCUGCUGGUGAUGAUGAAGAUGAAGAUGAAUCGGAAGCAAUGGUUGUAGAGAAUCCUGGGCCUCGGGCUAGAGUUGAUGAGCCUAAGGCUCCUGAAGUAGAUGAGGAAGGAUGGACAAUAGUUGGCUCUAGAAGGGGAGGCAAUGGGAGAAGGAACUAGCUAAGAGAAGAAGGAUCAAGUCACCAUUGUUGCCAAAGCUACUGGUGAAAGUUCUGAAAGUUCUCUGACUAUUGUUAAGACAGUGCAAAAUGUUUGGUAUAAACCUAAGAUGUCUUGCCCCCUAAUAGGAUUUGGAUUUUCAGGAAUUGUAGCUUUUUGGGCAUCCAUAAAUCUGGCUACGGUAAUAGUUCAUCCUUUUUGUUUUGUUUUGUUUUGUUUUGUUUUGUUUAGGUGACUGAUGUUUUUGGUUUUGUGUUGUUCUUUAAAAUUAUUUAGUUAAGCUAUUGACAAGCUUCCUCUUUUGCCAAGUGUGUU